Molecule: ribosomal RNA, 427 nt
Filed under: uncultured bacterium
Lineage: Bacteria
Description: partial 16S ribosomal RNA
Rfam family: Bacterial small subunit ribosomal RNA
Source: RNAcentral
UGGGGAAUAUUGGACAAUGGGCGAAAGCCUGAUCCAGCCAUGCCGCGUGUGUGAAGAAGGUCUUCGGAUUGUAAAGCACUUUAAGUUGGGAGGAAGGGCAUUAACCUAAUACGUUAGUGUUUUGACGUUACCGACAGAAUAAGCACCGGCUAACUCUGUGCCAGCAGCCGCGGUAAUACAGAGGGUGCAAGCGUUAAUCGGAAUUACUGGGGGUAAAGCGCGCGUAGGUGGUUUGUUAAGUUGGAUGUGAAAUCCCCGGGCUCAACCUGGGAACUGCAUUCAAAACUGACUGACUAGAGUAUGGUAGAGGGUGGUGGAAUUUCCUGUGUAGCGGUGAAAUGCGUAGAUAUAGGAAGGAACACCAGUGGCGAAGGCGACCACCUGGACUAAUACUGACACUGAGGUGCGAAAGCGUGGGGAGCAAACA